GAGAAAAUGUUUAAACAAUAACCCAUUGGGCACCAGUGCUCUCCACUUGACGAGUAAAAUUGUCUGGUAUUACACAGAGUAAUGUGUUAAUACAACAACCGAUCAUCACAGGAAUCAGUUUAAUAGCACUACAAUUUAUCAACCAGAAAAAAUCUGUGUAACAUAAUUUUGGAACAUUCACUAGGUAGGCCCUCGGCUCUUGCUUUACACCUAGAACAUAUCCAACCUCCACCCCAAUAUAUGGAUACUGUUAUCCAACCUCCCCCCAUGUGUGCAGUUGGGUUCCUCCCCAACCCUCCUUCUGACACUUGAUUUUUAAUCAAGUAGAUGAAAAUUUGUCAGAAAGAUGGGUUGACAUCACUGCCCAAUUCCUCUGCAUUCUUAGAAACUCAAGACAAGUCAUCUUGUUUCGGUUUUUUUUUUGGGGGGGGGGGGCAAUUCAGACAAGCCUCUGUCAAGCAUCUUUUGAUGGUGGAAAUAGAG
Molecule: non-coding RNA, 483 nt
Organism: Paramuricea clavata
Lineage: Eukaryota; Metazoa; Cnidaria; Anthozoa; Malacalcyonacea; Plexauridae
Source: the annotation of a GenBank genome assembly